GGGGCUGUCAGAUAGCCUGGUCUAGUCUGCGAGGCUCCAGACCUCGUCACGCCGGUUCAAAUCCGGCCAGCCCCA
This 75-nucleotide transfer RNA is filed under the name Candidatus Aenigmatarchaeota archaeon. RNAcentral describes it as "tRNA-Trp". It matches the Rfam family "tRNA". Rfam says of the family: Transfer RNA (tRNA) molecules are approximately 80 nucleotides in length. Their secondary structure includes four short double-helical elements and three loops (D, anti-codon, and T loops). Lineage: Archaea; Nanobdellati; Candidatus Aenigmatarchaeota. The record is from RNAcentral.